GAUGAACGCUAGCGGCAGGCUUAACACAUGCAAGUCGAGGGGCAACACGGGUAGCAAUACCUGGUGGCGACCGGCGCAAGGGUGCGUAACGCGUGAGCAACAUGCCCUAUACAGGGGGAUAAUCCAGGGAAACUUGGUCUAAUAUCCCAUAGUAUUUAGAGGUGGCAUCACCACUAAAUUAAAGCUUCGGUGGUAUAGGAUUGGCUCGCGUGACAUUAGCUGGAUGGUGGGGUAACGGCUCACCAUGGCGAUGAUGUCUAGGGGUUCUGAGAGGAAGACCCCCCCACACUGGGACUGAGACACGGCCCAGACUCCUACGGGAGGCAGCAGUGAGGAAUAUUGGACAAUGGAUGGAAAAUCUGAUCCAGCCAAUGCCGCGUGCAGGAAGACGGCCCUAUGGGUUGUAAACUGCUUUUUAUAUGGGAGCAAUAAGGUUUACGCGUAGACCGAUGAGAGUACCAUAUGAAUAAGCAUCGGCUAACUCCGU
RNAcentral lists this ribosomal RNA (487 nucleotides) under uncultured bacterium. Its description in RNAcentral is "bacterial SSU rRNA". It matches the Rfam family "Bacterial small subunit ribosomal RNA", at positions 28 to 506 of the family's 1533-position model. The record is from RNAcentral.